Sceloporus undulatus (fence lizard) is the source of this 1708-nucleotide long non-coding RNA. RefSeq lists it as uncharacterized. Lineage: Eukaryota; Metazoa; Chordata; Lepidosauria; Squamata; Phrynosomatidae. The record is from RefSeq and is a predicted model, not a curated record. The transcript has 3 exons.
UCCAAAGGAUGCAGCCAAGGUGGUUAAUGUGGUAUCAAAAUGCUAUACCAUUGUAAUGUGAAAGCAAUCAGAGGUUGCUUUACAAUUCUAGCAUUCUUAUGCCUUCUCUUGUUGCCUAGCAGGUUGCAGGGGAUAAACUGAUUUCUGUCACAGAGUCCUGAAUUUAUCCCUCACAGGGGGGUUGCCUGAGAUCAACCCAAGGCCUAGAGACUGCCCAUCCAUGGAGUAGAAAGGAAUAUAAACACCAGCAGAUAUGGGGAGAUGAAGGGUAGAGGAGAAUGAAUCUGAAAAACCAAGCAAAGCUGGAACAUGGAAGCAUUUUCAAGUACUUGGGGAAAGUGUUAUGUGGACUGAAGUAUUUUUCAGGCUGCCAGGCAACUGAAAAAUUUGAAUUACUUAAUCAUAUAUAUUUUAACCAACAAUCAACUAUAUUUAAAUAAAUGUAUAUAUUACAAAAACUGUAUGGGAACAUAGUUGAGGUAAUGGAGGGAAUUUCAUUGAGCAAUUUAAUAAACAAGGCUACUAGACACUGAACUGAGGAAAGUCAUUUUUUUUCUUUUUCUAUCACAGUAAUAAACCAAAAUUCCCUCAAAAUGAACAAGUAUCCUCUAAAACAUGCAGCCUUGUAAUUUCCAAAUGGAAUAUUUCAGACUACAUUCCCAGUUGACAUUGAAUGAUUUUUGUAAGCAAUGUAUCUGGCAAGAUAAUUCUGUACUGGAUAAGGAAGGGUAGCCAGCUAUUACAUGUUCAAUUGUUUCUGGUUUAUCUUUGUAUUUUCUACAAGUACCUCUGGUCUUUGUUAUAUAUUUUGGAGACUGAUUGGUAACAAUUACACAGUUUUGAACAGCAGUGACAAAAGAUACCCUUUUCUACUUUAUUUUAUUUGGCUCUGUACCCUGUACUGAUGAGGCUACAUCCUCAUCCAUGCUUAUUCGUAGUCUGUUCAUGUAAGUUUCAUUUCUUGUCUUUGUCUUUGGGGUGGAUAAUGAAAAGAGAAGCACUGAAUUAACAUACCAAGUAAAAGUGUAUGCAAAGAAAUGCAAAGGAUAACAUUAAUUACCAUAGUAGAGGUACAUGUAAAAUAGGAUACAAAUACAGUUACAGGUGUUUUGCUAUUAAUAGAAGGCAGGUUCAUGAGUGGGAUCAGAAUGGCUAUUUCCCAGUAAGUAAACCCAUUCAUUAGGACUAAAACAAACCCAUGAAUACUUGGCAUACAUGAUUUUGGAUCUCUAUCUUUCAUUUCUUUUUUUAUUCAUACUGGGAUUGGCUGGAUGACUAAUCCUGUUUCCUAUGUCUGCUGUAUGUCAAAUUGAAUUCGAUAGGGCUUACUUAUACGAGACACAUCUAUAUAGGACUGCAGCCCUACAGACCUGGGACUCACCUGGACUCUGAAAGUAGAGAAAACAUCUUACCUUCAGGAUUGAAAUGAGGAAGGAAUGUCUUCACUAGUUUCCCUUCUACUGGUUCCAAUAGUAUACAUCAUGCCAGAGAUUGCAAAAUAGCAUAACAAGUAACUAGUAACAGUCAAGUACUCCCAAGGCAUUGUCCAACUAUGAUUCAAACUGGGUUAGCUGCCAGCCUCCCCUGACUCCUCCUGGGCUCGACAUCUUGACACUUCUUCAUCCAAGGAGACCUCCUUCAGUUCUCAUUCCUCACUGUGCCAUGAGAUAUGUGCUCUGUUUCAUUUUCUGCUUCUGUGCAUUAAGGU